Molecule: ribosomal RNA, 497 nt
Filed under: uncultured bacterium
Lineage: Bacteria
Description: bacterial SSU rRNA
Rfam family: Bacterial small subunit ribosomal RNA
Source: RNAcentral
GACGAACGCUGGCGGCGUGCUUAACACAUGCAAGUCGAACGGAGAAUUUAUUUCGGUAAAUUCUUAGUGGCGAACGGGUGAGUAACGCGUGGGCAACCUGCCCUUCAGAUGGGGACAACAUCCCGAAAGGGGUGCUAAUACCGAAUACGAUCACGCUGCCGCAUGGCGGUGUGAUGAAAGAUGGCCUCUAUUUAUAAGCUAUCGCUGAAGGAUGGGCCUGCGUCUGAUUAGCUAGUUGGUGGGGUAACGGCCUACCAAGGCGAUGAUCAGUAGCCGGUCUGAGAGGAUGAACGGCCACAUUGGGACUGAGACACGGCCCAAACUCCUACGGGAGGCAGCAGUGGGGAAUAUUCCGCAAUGGACGAAAGUCUGACGGAGCAACGCCGCGUGAGUGAUGAAGGUUUUCGGACUGUAAAACUCUGUUGUUUAGGACGAAAGUGCCUGUUGCAAAUAGUUGCAGGUGUUGACGGUACUGAACGAGGAAGCCACGGCUAACU